CGGGGCUGCGGGAGGAAUCGCAGCCGGGCAGCCAGGGAAAACAAACCUUCCUGCGCCAUGGCACUGCCAGGGGCCCUGCGGAGCACGGCGCGGGGCAACGCGUGGCCUGAGUUUGGAAGGUGUGAAGCAGUGCAAGCGUAGCCCCCGUCCCCCCUGUGUGUGUCCAUCUAGGGAUACGUUGGUGAAAGAAGUGAAAAGUUAAAGCAAAAAGUGGAGGGCAGGACACCCUUCACAUCUAGCGCCUGCCGGCAGUCACGGCAUGGUGGUGGUGGGAAGAAGAAUUUACUCCCGUCGCCCUUCUCCCGAUCUGAAGAGCCACGUCUG
Molecule: long non-coding RNA, 324 nt
Organism: Lepidothrix coronata (blue-crowned manakin)
Lineage: Eukaryota; Metazoa; Chordata; Aves; Passeriformes; Pipridae
Exons: 3
Source: RefSeq, a predicted model, not a curated record